This is a long non-coding RNA of Mobula hypostoma (lesser devil ray), 1776 nucleotides long. RefSeq lists it as uncharacterized. The transcript is spliced from 3 exons. Lineage: Eukaryota; Metazoa; Chordata; Chondrichthyes; Myliobatiformes; Myliobatidae. The record is from RefSeq and is a predicted model, not a curated record.
AACAAGGUGGGAGGAGAAGAGCAGUGCACCACGAUUGCACAGCCCUCCGGUGAAAAAUGAUAUUGUAUCUGUUAAAUAGGGGCCGUGGAUGAUUCUGAUUUGAUGGAGAAUGGACGUGAAAGCACAGAGGAACAUCUGGAGAAAUUUCUGAAAUGCUCGUUCUCUGCUGUCUUUACUGCGUGGUCGGGAAUCUUUUGGAGGGUAGGCCUCAAAAUCCCUGGCCUUGCCUGCUUUUGGCAACCGAGAAGGAGGUUGAAUCGUUCGGACAGAGAUGACGCUCAGUACUCGGUAUCGGAGAGCUGAUCAGAGCUCGAAGUUUUCAGAUGGCUCAGAGUCGGACUGUGGUCAGCAUGGCAGGGAGAGCUCUUCCUUCUCCCGCCUGCGUGAGAUGUGGGACACUUAAGAGACUCUGAACUUUUACUGUGCUCAUGGACUUCUUCAUCAGGUUAUAGUAUUGUUGCACUGUUGUAAAUAUAUGUAUAAUUAUGUGGUUUUGUCAGUUUUUUCGGUCUGUCCUGUGUUUUGUGAUAUCACAAUGGAGGAAAUAUUGUAUCAUUUCUUAAUGCAUGCAUUACUAAAUGACAAUAAAAGAGGACUACGUGUCUUCAUAAUCUAACAUCGGACAGACAGGCAUGUGAACAGGUGGGGAGCAGAGGGAUGAGGAGUUCCCAACCUGGGGUCUACGGGCCCUUUGGUUAAUGGUAAGGGUCAAUGGCAUAACAAAGGUUGGGAACCCUUAUAAAUGAUACUGACCUUGUAAAGGCCAUGUGGUUACAAUUGUAUUAUGGUUAGCACAAAUAUUAUAGGUUGAAGGGUCUUUCCCUGUGCUGUACUGUUCUAUAUUUUAUGUUACACCACCCAUUAGGAUUGUGGAUCAGAUGUAGUUCCUUUUAAAGUUCAUAGGGAUGGUUUUGGGGACAGAGGGGAGAGUUAGAGCUCAGAGUACCUCCAACAAAUUCAGGAACAUUUAUUACCCCUCAACCAUCUGGCUCCUGAACCAGAGGUAAUAAUUUCAUUCACCCCAACACGGAGGUCCCAACUGAUUCCCUUUCAAGGAGUCUGCAACUCCUGUUCUCAAUGUUAUUCAUUACUUAUUUAUCUAUUAUUGUGAUUUUGUUUUUAUUUUUGUAUUUGCAGUAUUUGUUGUCUUUUGCACAAUGGCUGUUUGCCUGUGUUUGUAGAUUUUUUGUUGAUUCUAUUGUGUUUUUUGUAUUUAUUGUGAAUGCCUGCAAGAAAAUGAAUCUCAAGGUAGUAUAUGGUUACAUAUAUGUAGGAAAGGAAAGGUACGUCGCAUCCGGGAGUUUCUCUGGUUAGCGGACGAUUUCUCUCCACGCCUCUCUGACGUAGUGGGGAACCGCGUACGAGGCAAGUUACAGCAGUUGUUUGCCAUUGCCUUCUGCUGGCUUAAGAUGGCACUGCUCCAUAAUUGCGUGCUCCAGAAUUGAUUGGAAAAGAACACUGGCAGGGAUGAUGGCAGAACGGCAGUGGCUGGAAUUUCCAGAAGCAAUUCAGAAGGCACAGGAUAUAUAAAUGACAAAGAGGAAGAAGUAUUCUCAAGGAGAAAAUGGCACAAUCAUGGCCAACAAGAGAAAUCAAAGUCAACAUAAAAGCCAAAGAGAGGGCAUAUAAUAGACCAAAAAUUAGUGGGAAGUUAGAGGACUGGGAAGCUUUCAAGUACCAACAGAAGGCAUUCACAGCAGAAUAAAGAAAUUCAAGAGAAUCAAUGAAAAUCUACACACAAGCAAAGACCGACAAAUAACUAAUAGGCGAAGGAAG